Molecule: transfer RNA, 76 nt
Filed under: Deltaproteobacteria bacterium
Lineage: Bacteria; Pseudomonadati; Myxococcota; Myxococcia
Also listed under: 4 other names
Description: tRNA-Val
Rfam family: tRNA
About the family: Transfer RNA (tRNA) molecules are approximately 80 nucleotides in length.
Source: RNAcentral
GGGCUCGUGGUCUAGGGGUCAUGACGUUGCCUUGACAUGGCAAAGAUCGCCAGUUCAAUUCUGGCCGAGCCCACCA